ACCCUUUCCUGCGGAAUAGCUCCGGGAAACUGGAAUUAAUACCGCAUACGCCCUACGGGGGAAAGAUUUAUCGGGGAAGGAUUGGCCCGCGUUGGAUUAGCUAGUUGGUGGGGUAAAGGCCUACCAAGGCGACGAUCCAUAGCUGGUCUGAGAGGAUGAUCAGCCACAUUGGGACUGAGACACGGCCCAAACUCCUACGGGAGGCAGCAGUGGGGAAUAUUGGACAAUGGGCGCAAGCCUGAUCCAGCCAUGCCGCGUGAGUGAUGAAGGCCUUAGGGUUGUAAAGCUCUUUCACCGGAGAAGAUAAUGACGGUAUCCGGAGAAGAAGCCCCGGCUAACUUCGUGCCAGCAGCCGCGGUAAUACGAAGGGGGCUAGCGUUGUUCGGAAUUACUGGGCGUAAAGCGCACGUAGGCGGAUAUUUAAGUCAGGGGUGAAAUCCCGCAGCUCAACUGCGGAACUGCCUUUGAUACUGGGUAUCUUGAGUAUGGAAGAGGUAAGUGGAAUUCCGAGUGUAGAGGUGAAAUUCGUAGAUAUUCGGAGGAACACCAGUGGCGAAGGCGGCUUACUGGUCCAUUACUGACGCUGAGGUGCGAAAGCGUGGGGGAGCAAACAGGAUUAGAUACCCUGGUAGUCCACGCCGUAAACGAUGAAUGUUAGCCGUCGGGCAGUAUACUGUUCGGUGGCGCAGCUAACGCAUUAAACAUUCCGCCUGGGGAGUACGGUCGCAAGAUUAAAACUC
This 740-nucleotide ribosomal RNA is filed under the name Rhizobium sp. T3(2015). RNAcentral's name for it is "bacterial SSU rRNA". It matches the Rfam family "Bacterial small subunit ribosomal RNA", at positions 128 to 902 of the family's 1533-position model. Lineage: Bacteria; Pseudomonadati; Pseudomonadota; Alphaproteobacteria; Hyphomicrobiales; Rhizobiaceae. The record is from RNAcentral.